UGGCGGCUCCGGACAGCCCGGACACGGACUUUGACCCCGCGCCGGGCCCGGCUGCGGCCCCUCUGCCCAGGCCCUUAAACCUUGGACCGCAGUGCCUUUGUAAACAGGCUGUACCGAGGGAGCCCGCGCAAGCCGCGCGACGCUGCCCGCACACCCCUCGCCAGCGCAAAAAAAAAGGGGCAUUUAAUUUAUUUAUUGCCCCGCGGGUAGUAAACAACGGAGCGAUGCGCGUGGCGGUGGUGGGCGCCGGCGUGGCGGGGCUCUCCACGGCGCUGUGCGUGCUGGAGCAGUGCGGCCCGCGCGCGCCCGCGCUGCAGCUCGCCGUGCACGCCGAGCGCCUCUCGCCGCGCACCGCCAGCGACGGCGCCGUGGGGCUCUGGCAGCCCUACGCGCUGCACGGCCGCGGCCCCCAGGAGACGCUCUGGAACAAGGAGACCUUCGAGUACCUGCUGGGGCACGUGGGCUCGCCGGAGGCCGAGGAGAUGGGGCUCUUCCUGGUGUCUGGCUACAACCUGUUCAAAGAGCCCGUCCCGGACCCCGUUUGGAAGGACAUAGUCCUGGGCUUCCGGCACCUGACACCGCGAGAGCUCGAGCUCUUCCCUGGCUACAGCUAUGGCUGGUUCAACACGGCGCUCAUGCUGGAGGGCAGGAGGUAUUUGCCCUGGCUCACCAAGAGGUUAAUGCAGAGGGGAGUGAAGUUCUUCCACCAGAAGGUUGAAUCUUUCCAGGAGCUGUUUGACCAGGGCGCCGACGUGGUCAUCAACUGCACCGGGGUGCGCGCGGGGGACCUGCAGCCCGACCCGGCGCUGCAGCCCGGCCGCGGGCAGGUCAUAAAGGUGCGGGCUCCGUGGGUGAAGCACUUCAUCAUAACUCACGACCUCGAGUCGGGAAUCUACAACUCGCCCUACAUCAUCCCAGGGAGCGAGGUGACCGUGCUGGGAGGCGUGAACCAGCUGGGCAACUGGAGCGAGGAGAACAGCGCCCAGGACCACAGGGCCAUCUGGGAGAGCUGCUGCCGGCUGCUGCCUGCGCUCCAGGAUGCACCCAUCGUGGAGGAGUGGAGCGGCCUGAGACCCGUGCGGCCCAGCGUUCGCCUGGAGAGGGAGGCCGUCGGGCCCGGGCGCUCCGAGGUGAUCCACAACUACGGCCACGGCGGCUUCGGCAUCACCAUCCACUGGGGCUGCGCCAUGGCUGCGGCCCGGCUCUGCAGCAACAUCCUGCAGGAGAGGCUGCCGCUCCGCGCCGCCCGCCUCUGAGCUGCCCGCCCGUCCACCCGCCCCGCUUUAGCAGCCGUAGCUUAGGAAUCGUAGGAGGAAAGCAGAGGCAAAUCACCCGUGGCUGCGCCCCGCGGCACCCUUCCGUUGCAGCACGCGGCUGUUCUGCGGCUGUCACCAACCUUCCCUCCGCCCCGGCCUCGCUCGGCUUGUGCGGAGCGAGAGCUUCAAGAUACAGACUGUUGCUCUGUGGUUCUAUAUAUAGCAGAGAACAUGUGCGAAAUAGCUGCAGUCGCCUCCAGAACUCCCGCCCGCACUCGAGCUUCCCGUCGGCUCAGCCUGGAGAGGCGCCGGAGCAGCAGCCGGAGCCGCUCGCGGGCACCGCCGCAGCCCCGGCUCCCGCUCCCAAAGCUGUCCCGCAUGGAAAAGGCUCGGAGCCGAGGGCAGCCUGCCCAAGGCGGACGUCGGGACGCGAGGCUGCCUGGCAAAGCGGCUCCGACUUGGAGCCGCAGCUCACCUAUGGUUGUGCUCACCCCAAAGCCACAAAAUCCAGGGAGGGGGGAACAGGGGCAAUAGCUGGAGACAGUGCCUUAAUGAAUAACGUUAAACCUAAUGGUCUGUGGUGUCACCUCAGUAGAAACCACUUGGCGGGAUGGCAGCCGCUCCGUUUCACCCGUUCCGCGUAUGAGGUGCUGAGGAUGGUGCUGUCUGUCCAUCUGUCCGCCCAUCCCGCAGCCGAGGCCGCUUCCCAAGGGCUAAUGCUGGCCAGGCCAGGCCAGAGGAGGCCUUGGGGACUCAGCUAGAGCCUGAGGGGCCGCGCGGGGCAUGGCCAUGGAUCGUGUCUUGGAAAAAAGAUACGUAGAAAGGAGUAGGUGGGGAAUUUUAUUUGCAUUCUGCU
This is an RNA transcript of Nothoprocta perdicaria, 2112 nucleotides long. It is a transcript of the gene named D-amino acid oxidase, with no coding region annotated. The transcript is spliced from 11 exons. The record is from RefSeq and is a predicted model, not a curated record. NCBI's taxonomy places the organism in Eukaryota, Metazoa, Chordata, Aves, Tinamiformes, Tinamidae.